This 72-nucleotide transfer RNA is filed under the name Camelus bactrianus (Bactrian camel). It matches the Rfam family "tRNA". Rfam says of the family: Transfer RNA (tRNA) molecules are approximately 80 nucleotides in length. Their secondary structure includes four short double-helical elements and three loops (D, anti-codon, and T loops). Further hydrogen bonds mediate the characteristic L-shaped molecular structure. tRNAs have two regions of fundamental functional importance: the anti-codon, which is responsible for specific mRNA codon recognition, and the 3' end, to which the tRNAs corresponding amino acid is attached (by aminoacyl-tRNA synthetases). tRNAs cope with the degeneracy of the genetic code in two manners: having more than one tRNA (with a specific anti-codon) for a particular amino acid; and 'wobble' base-pairing, i.e. permitting non-standard base-pairing at the 3rd anti-codon position. The record is from Rfam by way of RNAcentral. Lineage: Eukaryota; Metazoa; Chordata; Mammalia; Artiodactyla; Camelidae. RNAcentral also lists the same sequence under 2 other names.
GAGGGUAGAGCUCAGUGGUACAGCACAUGCUUAGCAAGCCCAAGGUCCUGGGUUCAAUUCCCAGUGCCUCCU